Molecule: ribosomal RNA, 497 nt
Filed under: uncultured bacterium
Lineage: Bacteria
Description: partial 16S ribosomal RNA
Rfam family: Bacterial small subunit ribosomal RNA
Source: RNAcentral
GAUGAACGCUGGCGGCGUGCCUAAUACAUGCAAGUCGAGCGAACGGACGAGAAGCUUGCUUUUCUGAUGUUAGCGGCGGACGGGUGAGUAACACGUGGAUAACCUACCUAUAAGACUGGGAUAACUUCGGGAAACCGGAGCUAAUACCGGAUAAUAUUUUGAACCGCAUGGUUCAAAAGUGAAAGACGGUCUUGCUGUCACUUAUAGAUGGAUCCGCGCUGCAUUAGCUAGUUGGUAAGGUAACGGCUUACCAAGGCAGCGAUGCAUAGCCGACCUGAGAGGGUGAUCGGCCACACUGGAACUGAGACACGGUCCAGACUCCUACGGGAGGCAGCAGUAGGGAAUCUUCCGCAAUGGGCGAAAGCCUGACGGAGCAACGCCGCGUGAGUGAUGAAGGUCUUCGGAUCGUAAAACUCUGUUAUUAGGGAAGAACAUAUGUGUAAGUAACUGUGCACAUCUUGACGGUACCUAAUCAGAAAGCCACGGCUAACUACGUG